AGCCCUGUGGUGAGACACAGUGAGUUGCAAACUCAAAGACGCAGAUUAAUACUUUGCCGGGGCUU
This 65-nucleotide transfer RNA is filed under the name Labeo nasus. Its description in RNAcentral is "tRNA-Cys". The record is from RNAcentral. Lineage: Eukaryota; Metazoa; Chordata; Actinopteri; Cypriniformes; Cyprinidae.